This 497-nucleotide ribosomal RNA is filed under the name uncultured bacterium. Its description in RNAcentral is "partial 16S ribosomal RNA". It matches the Rfam family "Bacterial small subunit ribosomal RNA", at positions 28 to 507 of the family's 1533-position model. The record is from RNAcentral.
GAUGAACGCUGGCGGCGUGCCUAAUACAUGCAAGUCGAGCGAACAGACGAGGAGCUUGCUCCUCUGACGUUAGCGGCGGACGGGUGAGUAACACGUGGAUAACCUACCUAUAAGACUGGGAUAACUUCGGGAAACCGGAGCUAAUACCGGAUAAUAUAUUGAACCGCAUGGUUCAAUAGUGAAAGACGGUUUUGCUGUCACUUAUAGAUGGAUCCGCGCCGCAUUAGCUAGUUGGUAAGGUAACGGCUUACCAAGGCAACGAUGCGUAGCCGACCGGAGAGGGUGAUCGUCCACACUGGAACUGAAACACGGUCCAGACUCCUGCGGGAGGCAGCAGUAGGGAAUCUCCCGCAAUGGGCGAAAGCCUGACGGAGCAACGCCGCGUGAGUGAUGAAGGUCUUCGGAUCGUAAAACUCUGUUAUUAGGGAAGAACAAAUGUGUAAGUAACUAUGCACGUCUUGACGGUACCUAAUCAGAAAGCCACGGCUAACUACGUG